GACGAACGCUGGCGGCGUGCUUAACACAUGCAAGUCGAACGGAAAGGCCCUGCUUGCAGGGUACUCGAGUGGCGAACGGGUGAGUAACACGUGGGUGAUCUGCCCUGCACUUCGGGAUAAGCCUGGGAAACUGGGUCUAAUACCGGAUAGAAGCCAUUUUUAGUGUGAUGGUUGGAAAGUUUUUUCGGUGUAGGAUGAGCUCGCGGCCUAUCAGCUUGUUGGUGGGGUAAUGGCCUACCAAGGCGGCGACGGGUAGCCGGCCUGAGAGGGUGGACGGCCACAUUGGGACUGAGAGACGGCCCAGACUCCUACGGGAGGCAGCAGUGGGGAAGAUUGCACAAUGGGCGCAAGCCUGAUGCAGCGACGCCGCGUGGGGGAUGACGGCCUUCGGGUUGUAAACUCCUUUCGCUAGGGACGAAGCUUUUUGUGACGGUACCUAGAUAAGAAGCACCGGCUAACUACGUG
Molecule: ribosomal RNA, 465 nt
Filed under: uncultured bacterium
Lineage: Bacteria
Description: partial 16S ribosomal RNA
Rfam family: Bacterial small subunit ribosomal RNA
Source: RNAcentral